GUCUUUUUGAAUAAUAUUUAUUUAAAGUCUAAUCUGCUCACUGAAUUAAAAUUUAAAGAGCCGCAGUAUUUUAACUGUGCAAAGGUAGCAUAAUAAUUUGUUUUUUAAUUGAAAACUAGAAUGAAUGAUUGAACGAGAUAUAUACUGUCUCAAUUUUAAUUUAAUAUAAAUUAAUUUUUUAGUUAAAAAGCUAAAAUUGAUUUAAAAGACGAGAAGACCCUAUAGAUUUUUAUAUAAUUAUCAAUUAAUUUAUAUAUAUAUAAAUUUAUUUAUAUUUAUUGAUAAUUGUAUUUUAUUGGGGUAAUAAAAAAAUUAAAAAAACUUUUAUUAAAUAAAAACAUAAAUUAAUGAAAAUUUGAUCCAAAUUUAAUGAUUAAAAGAUUAAAUUACCUUAGGGAUAACAGCGUAAUUUUAAUUUUAAGUUCUUAUUGAAAUUAAAGAUUGCGACCUCGAUGUUGGAUUAAGAAAAAUUUUAAAAGUAGAUUUUUAAAUUUUAGGUCUGUUCGACCUUUAAAAUCUU
RNAcentral lists this ribosomal RNA (520 nucleotides) under Xanthochorema caledon. Its description in RNAcentral is "partial 16S ribosomal RNA". The record is from RNAcentral. Lineage: Eukaryota; Metazoa; Arthropoda; Insecta; Trichoptera; Hydrobiosidae.